RNAcentral lists this ribosomal RNA (1325 nucleotides) under metagenome. Its description in RNAcentral is "bacterial LSU rRNA". It matches the Rfam family "Bacterial large subunit ribosomal RNA", at positions 1561 to 2925 of the family's 2925-position model. The record is from RNAcentral.
AGUGGAUGGGGAGCAACCUAGUUGUGCGUGUGUAAAGGUAGUGCCAAGAAAAGCGAUGAUCAUGUUGAAAAUCAAUUCCCGGUACCCGAAACCGACACAGGUGGGCAAGUAGAGAAUACUAAGGGGCGCGAGGUAACUCUCUCCAAGGAACUCGGCAAAAUGACCCCGUAACUUAGGGAGAAGGGGUGCCACCGAGAGGUGGUCGCAGUGAAGAGGCCCAGGCGACUGUUUAGCAAAAACAUAGGUCUCUGCAAACUCGAAAGAGGAGGUAUAGGGGCUGACUCCUGCCCAGUGCCGGAAGGUUAAAGAAGUUGGUCAGUCUUAGGAUGAAGCUAGCGACUGAAGCCCCGGUGAACGGCGGCCGUAACUAUAACGGUCCUAAGGUAGCGAAAUUCCUUGUCGGGUAAGUUCCGACCCGCACGAAAGGCGUAACGAUCUGGGCGCUGUCUCGGAGAGAGGCUCGGCGAAAUAGGAUUGUCUGUGAAGAUACGGACUACCUGCAUUUGGACAGAAAGACCCUAUGAAGCUUUACUAUAGCUUGGAAUUGUGUUCGGGCUUCCUGUGCGCAGGAUAGGUGGGAGGCGUAGAAGGUAUUCUUGUGGGGAUACUGGAGCCAACGGUGAGAUACCACUCUCAGGAGGCUAGAAUUCUAACUUAAUUAAGGACAGUUUCAGGUGGGUAGUUUGACUGGGGCGGUCGCCUCCAAAAAGGUAAUGGAGGCGUACAAAGGUUCCCUCAGACUGGUUGGAAAUCAGUCGAAGAGUGCAAAGGCAGAAGGGAGCUUGACUGCGAGAAGUACAGUUCGAGCAGGGUGGAAACACGGUCUUAGUGAUCCGACGGUGCUGUGUGGAAGGGCCGUCGCUCAACGGAUAAAAGUUACUCUAGGAUAACAGGCUGAUCUCCCCCAAGAGUUUACAUCGACGGGGAGGUUUGGCACCUCGAUGUCGGCUCAUCGCAACCUGGGGCGGAAGUACGUCCCAAGGGUUGGGCUGUUCGCCCAUUAAAGCGGUACGUGAGCUGGGUUCAGAACGUCGUGAGACAGUUCGGUCCAUAUCCGAUGUAGGCGUGAGAAUAUUGAGAGGAGCCUUCCUUAGUACGAGAGGACCGGGAAGGACGCACCGCUGGUGUACCUGUUAUGAUGCCAAUUGUAAACGCAGGGUAGCCAAGUGCGGAGAGGAUAACCGCUGAAAGCAUCUAAGUGGGAAGCCCACCUCAAGAUGAGUAUUCUGGUGUAAGGUCACGGGAAGACGACCCGUAAAUAGGCACGAGGUGGAAGUGCAGAGAUGUAUGAAGCCGAAGUGUACUAAUAGACCGUCGGCUUGACC